Molecule: ribosomal RNA, 301 nt
Filed under: uncultured bacterium
Lineage: Bacteria
Description: partial 16S ribosomal RNA
Rfam family: Bacterial small subunit ribosomal RNA
Source: RNAcentral
CAGUCGCCACGGGAAUACGAGGGGAGCUAGCGUUAUUCGGAAUUACUGGGCGUAAAGCGCACGUAGGCGGCUUUGUAAGUUAGAGGUGAAAGCCCAGAGCUCAACUCUGGAAUUGCCUUUAAGACUGCAUCGCUUGAAUCCAGGAGAGGUGAGUGGAAUUCCGAGUGUAGAGGUGAAAUUCGUAGAUAUUCGGAAGAACACCAGUGGCGAAGGCGGCUCACUGGACUGGUAUUGACGCUGAGGUGCGAAAGCGUGGGGAGCAAACAGGAUUAGAUACCCCUGUAGUCCCUGUCUCUUAUAC